AAAGAUUAAGCCAUGCAUGUCUAAGUAUAAGCAACUAUACAGUGAAACUGCGAAUGGCUCAUUAAAUCAGUUAUCGUUUAUUUGAUAAUACCUUACUACUUGGAUAACCGUGGUAAUUCUAGAGCUAAUACAUGCUAAAAAUCCCGACCUCUGGAAGGGAUGUAUUUAUUAGAUAAAAAACCAAUGUCUUCGGACUCCUUGGUGAUUCAUGAUAACUUAACGAAUCGCAUGGCCUUGCGCCGGCGAUGGUUCAUUCAAAUUUCUGCCCUAUCAACUUUCGAUGGUAGGAUAGUGGCCUACCAUGGUUUCAACGGGUAACGGGGAAUUAGGGUUCUAUUCCGGAGAGGGAGCCUGAGAAACGGCUACCACAUCCAAGGAAGGCAGCAGGCGCGCAAAUUACCCAAUCCCAAUUCGGGGAGGUAGUGACAAUAAAUACUGAUACAGGGCUCUUUUGGGUCUUGUAAUUGGAAUGAGUACAAUUUAAAUCCCUUAACGAGGAACAAUUGGAGG
This 510-nucleotide ribosomal RNA is filed under the name Dactylella sp. Its description in RNAcentral is "SSU rRNA". It matches the Rfam family "Eukaryotic small subunit ribosomal RNA", at positions 39 to 554 of the family's 1831-position model. The record is from RNAcentral. Lineage: Eukaryota; Fungi; Ascomycota; Orbiliomycetes; Orbiliales; Orbiliaceae.